RNAcentral lists this ribosomal RNA (254 nucleotides) under uncultured bacterium. RNAcentral describes it as "partial 16S ribosomal RNA". It matches the Rfam family "Bacterial small subunit ribosomal RNA", at positions 524 to 776 of the family's 1533-position model. The record is from RNAcentral.
UACGUAGGGUGCGAGCGUUGUCCGGAAUUAUUGGGCGUAAAGAGCUCGUAGGCGGUGUGUCACGUCGGCCGUGAAAACCUGCAGCUUAACUGUGGGCGUGCGGUCGAUACGGGCAUCACUGGAGUUCGGCAGGGGAGACUGGAAUUCCUGGUGUAGCGGUGAAAUGCGCAGAUAUCAGGAGGAACACCGGUGGCGAAGGCGGGUCUCUGGGCCGAUACUGACGCUGAUGCGCGAAAGCUAGGGUAGCAAACAGG